UUUGAUCAUGCUCAGGACGAACGCUGGCGGCGUGCUUAACACAUGCAAGUCGAGCGGAAAGGCCACUUCGGUGGUACUCGAGCGGCGAACGGGUGAGUAACACGUGAGUAAUCUGCCUCUGGCUUCGGGAUAGCCACCGGAAACGGUGAUUAAUACCGGAUACGACACGCUCUUGCAUGAGAUGUGUGUGGAAAGUUUUUUCGGCCAGGGAUGUGCUCGCGGCCUAUCAGCUUGUUGGUGGGGUAAUGGCCUACCAAGGCUUCGACGGGUAGCCGGCCUGAGAGGGUGACCGGCCACACUGGGACUGAGACACGGCCCAGACUCUACGGGAGGCAGCAGUGGGGAAUAUUGGACAAUGGGCGGAAGCCUGAUCCAGCAACGCCGCGUGAGGGAUGACGGCUUCGGGUUGUAAACCUCUUUCAGCACAGACGAAGCGCAAGUGACGGUAUGUGCAGAAGAAGGACCGGCCAACUACGUGCCAGCAGCCGCGGUAAUACGUAGGGUCCGAGCGUUGUCCGGAAUUAUUGGGCGUAAAGGGCUCGUAGGCGGUUUGUCGCGUCGGGAGUGAAAACACCGGGCUUAACUCGGUGCUUGCUUUCGAUACGGGCAGACUAGAGGCAUUCAGGGGAGAACGGAAUUCCUGGUGUAGCGGUGAAAUGCGCAGAUAUCAGGAGGAACACCGGUGGCGAAGGCGGYNCUCUGGAAUGUC
RNAcentral lists this ribosomal RNA (709 nucleotides) under actinobacterium GWS-BW-H198. RNAcentral's name for it is "bacterial SSU rRNA". It matches the Rfam family "Bacterial small subunit ribosomal RNA", at positions 12 to 739 of the family's 1533-position model. Lineage: Bacteria; Bacillati; Actinomycetota; Actinomycetes. The record is from RNAcentral.